Molecule: ribosomal RNA, 488 nt
Filed under: uncultured Bacillota bacterium
Lineage: Bacteria; Bacillati; Bacillota
Description: bacterial SSU rRNA
Rfam family: Bacterial small subunit ribosomal RNA
Source: RNAcentral
UAGGGAAUCUUCCACAAUGGACGGAAGUCUGAUGGAGCAACGCCGCGUGAGCGAAGAAGGUUUUCGGAUCGUAAAGCUCUGUUGUGAGGGAAGAACAAGUGCAGGAGUAACUGCCUGUACCUUGACGGUACCUCAUUAGAAAGCCACGGCUAACUACGUGCCAGCAGCCGCGGUAAUACGUAGGUGGCAAGCGUUGUCCGGAAUUAUUGGGCGUAAAGCGCGCGCAGGCGGCCUUUUAAGUCUGAUGUGAAAGCCCACGGCUCAACCGUGGAAGGUCAUUGGAAACUGGAAGGCUUGAGUACAGAAGAGGAAAGCGGAAUUCCACGUGUAGCGGUGAAAUGCGUAGAGAUGUGGAGGAACACCAGUGGCGAAGGCGGCUUUCUGGUCUGUAACUGACGCUGAGGCGCGAAAGCGUGGGGAGCAAACAGGAUUAGAUACCCGGGUAGUCCACGCUGUAAACGUUGGGCACUAGGUGUGGGAGGUAUUGA